GAUGAACGCUGGCGGCGUGCCUAAUACAUGCAAGUCGAGCGAACGGACGAGAAGCUUGCUUCUCUGAUGUUAGCGGCGGACGGGUGAGUAACACGUGGAUAACCUACCUAUAAGACUGGGAUAACUUCGGGAAACCGGAGCUAGCACCGGAUGAUAUUUUGAACCGCAUGGUUCAAAAGUGAAAGACGGUCUUGCUGUCACUUAUAGAUGGAUCCGCGCUGCACUAGCUAGUUGGUAAGGUAACGGCUUACCAAGGCAACGAUGCAUAGCCGACCUGAGAGGGUGAUCGGCCACACUGGAACUGAGACACGGUCCAGACUCCUACGGGAGGCAGCAGUAGGGAAUCUUCCGCAAUGGGCGAAAGCCUGACGGAGCAACGCCGCGUGAGUGAUGAAGGUCUUCGGAUCGUAAAACUCUGUUAUUAGGGAAGAACAUAUGUGUAAGUAACUGUGCACAUCUUGACGGUACCUAAUCAGAAAGCCACGGCUAACUACGUG
This 497-nucleotide ribosomal RNA is filed under the name uncultured bacterium. Its description in RNAcentral is "partial 16S ribosomal RNA". It matches the Rfam family "Bacterial small subunit ribosomal RNA", at positions 28 to 507 of the family's 1533-position model. The record is from RNAcentral.